Molecule: long non-coding RNA, 259 nt
Filed under: Elaeis guineensis (African oil palm)
Lineage: Eukaryota; Viridiplantae; Streptophyta; Magnoliopsida; Arecales; Arecaceae
Description: long non-coding RNA (EGUI_LNC031968)
Source: RNAcentral
ACUCUAGAGCAAGAUUUUUCGAUGGACCUCAUCCUAGCCUCACUACAGAUGAAGACUGGUUUGAAACAAUAAUAAAUAACUCAUUAGUAUGAUAGCUAUCCAAAUAAAAGAAUAAAAUUUUAUUAUAUAAAAAGUAUAAUAUACCACUCGGGCCCGUCUCACUAGGACCUGCCUCACUGGGACCUGCCGGUGCAGGACCCUCUGAUAAUGGAGCCAGUGUCGCAACGGAGAUCGGUGAAGGCGCCUCAACCUCCGGGCU